CUCUUUGAGCCUCACAAGUUCCAUCAUUAAAAGAAGAAUGAUAAUCCUUUGCAGGGUUGUUGUGGGAACUAAAUUAGCUAAUGUGAAGGAAGAUCCUGAUUUCAAAUAGGCCCUUAGUACAUGGUGGCAAUGAUGACUCUCCUCAUUCUCUCACUUUUUCUUCCUUCCAGCUUUCCUUCACCUCCUGAGUCUCUUCUUCAGGAAGGACCAUGAACCAUUGCAGCCCAUGAGAGCCAGCUGUGGAGGGAGACAUCCUUGCUCCUUCUUUUCCCUGCUUAUCCUCAGCUACAAUCUGGUGACUAAAUGGCUUCUCCUUCCAUCAGCAGGGGGACAGUGAAACCAGGCACUGUGUUGGUCACUCUGGAUAACCCUUAACCAAUGAUGAUUCCAUUGGUAAGGACAAAGCAGAGUGAAAUAUCUGAUGACGUAAAUCUCUUUUGGAACCUGAAGAAAGUUACCAUUUUAGACCUCAAGGAUCCAAUGAUCUGGGAAUACAGUUCAUCUGAGGAUGAGCAUUACAGCUAUUUACAAGGAGUUUCUUUUUCUGGAGUGUUGGAGCUAUAAUUUUCUUAUCCCUUAUCCAUUUCAAGCUUCCAUGAACCUGAACGGGAAGAUCUGAGAAAUACCUCCACUGAGCGACUGAGGUGGAAUAUGCAAUAGGACAUCAGAAGUUCAUAACAGUGUUUAUAUCGUGAGAUGAAGCCAUGUUAAACAAGUAAGGGAGCUCCGUAGGAUGCAGAAUUACUUAACUGCAUCUCAUGGAAGAGUAGGGUGGGGUUAAGCUCCUGCCUUUUCAUAAUCAUAUAACUGGGGAAGUAACCAUUGAGUCUUCUACUUUAUAAGUUAACCUAAAGACGUUGUUUCAAUCAAUCAACAAGUAUGUCUUGACCAUAUGCAUGACACUGUUAAGAAGUAAACAGAAUUUGUUGUAUAACCAAUUUGUACUCUCCUAUAAUCAUAGAAGCUGAUGUUCAAACUAGCUUUAAAAUAAUAUAUAUGUAUAACAUUUUUAUGUCCUAAUAAAAGAUAGUAGAUUAUAAAUAAUUAUGCAAAGCAAUCUAUGGUUUUUACAGGAAUAAAAUAAUUAGCCUUUCCUUUUCCUUCUUACCCUUUAUAUUUAUCUAUCC
Molecule: long non-coding RNA, 1127 nt
Filed under: Callithrix jacchus (white-tufted-ear marmoset)
Lineage: Eukaryota; Metazoa; Chordata; Mammalia; Primates; Cebidae
Description: lncRNA (ENSCJAG00000083072.1)
Source: RNAcentral